This 316-nucleotide ribosomal RNA is filed under the name uncultured soil bacterium. RNAcentral describes it as "bacterial SSU rRNA". It matches the Rfam family "Bacterial small subunit ribosomal RNA", at positions 26 to 346 of the family's 1533-position model. The record is from RNAcentral.
AGAUUGAACGCUGGCGGCAUGCUUUACACAUGCAAGUCGAACGGUAACAGGCCGCAAGGUGCUGACGAGUGGCGAACGGGUGAGUAAUGCAUCGGAACGUGCCCAGUCGUGGGGGAUAACGCAGCGAAAGCUGUGCUAAUACCGCAUACGAUCUAUGGAUGAAAGCGGGGGACCGAAAGGCCUCGCGCGAUUGGAGCGGCCGAUGUCAGAUUAGCUAGUUGGUGGGGUAAAGGCCCACCAAGGCGACGAUCUGUAGCUGGUCUGAGAGGACGACCAGCCACACUGGAACUGAGACACGGUCCAGACUCCUACGGGA